CAGAAAGACACUGGCACCAGGGGCGGAAAAAAAAAGCUCUCGCGACUGGUGCUGCUAAGAGCAGAAAAGUUUCAGAUAUGUUAGCGGGGGCCGGCCUGGCUUCAGCUGCGCCUGCGGGUCCCUCUCAGCAGCAGGUGGUGUCGGUGUCGGACAGUGAAAAGUGGAAGUAAGGUUGCCGCUGCCAUGGAGGUGGUACAGGAGCAGGAGGAGAUUGGUGGUGGUGGUGAUAGUAGGGCUGAGGAGGGCUUUAUAUUUGUUCCAGUGUGUGCUUUGUGAGGGACUUACAGUUGUCUUCCUUGUUGCCAGUGUCCUGAUGUGCUUUAGCCAGCAUCCUCCUUGGCUCUCUAUUUGUGUGAUUGUGAGUGACCUACAGUACCUUGCUGCCAGCCUGCCAAUGCCAUGACAGUUUCACCGCCUAUGAGUGAGUGAUAAAUAAACACUCUUGAAUCUUAAA
Molecule: non-coding RNA, 454 nt
Organism: Epinephelus lanceolatus (giant grouper)
Lineage: Eukaryota; Metazoa; Chordata; Actinopteri; Perciformes; Serranidae
Source: RefSeq, a predicted model, not a curated record